GCUUAACACAUGCAAGUCGAGGGGCAGCACGAGGUAGCAAUACUUUGGUGGCGACCGGCGCACGGGUGAGUAACGCGUAUGUAACCUACCUUGUACAGGGGGAUAGCCCGGAGAAAUUCGGAUUAAUACCCCAUAAUGAUAUUUGAAGGCAUCUUUGAAUAUUUAAAGUUUCGACGGUACGAGAUGGGCAUGCGUGACAUUAGCUAGUUGGUAAGGUAACGGCUUACCAAGGCUUCGAUGUCUAGGGGUCCUGAGAGGGUGAUCCCCCACACUGGUACUGAGACACGGACCAGACUCCUACGGGAGGCAGCAGUGAGGAAUAUUGGUCAAUGGGCGUAAGCCUGAACCAGCCAUCCCGCGUGAAGGAAGAAGGCGCUAUGCGUCGUAAACUUCUUUUCCGGAGGAAUAAAAUUUUGUACGAGUACAGAACUGAAGGUACUCCGGGAAUAAGCAUCGGCUAACUCCGUGCCAGCAGCCGCGGUAAUACGGAGGAUGCAAGCGUUAUCCGGAUUUAUUGGGUUUAAAGGGUGCGUAGGCGGAUUAAUAAGUCAGUGGUG
RNAcentral lists this ribosomal RNA (557 nucleotides) under uncultured Bacteroidota bacterium. RNAcentral describes it as "bacterial SSU rRNA". It matches the Rfam family "Bacterial small subunit ribosomal RNA", at positions 46 to 596 of the family's 1533-position model. Lineage: Bacteria; Pseudomonadati; Bacteroidota. The record is from RNAcentral.